RNAcentral lists this ribosomal RNA (440 nucleotides) under uncultured bacterium. RNAcentral describes it as "partial 16S ribosomal RNA". It matches the Rfam family "Bacterial small subunit ribosomal RNA", at positions 338 to 795 of the family's 1533-position model. The record is from RNAcentral.
CCUACGGGUGGCAGCAGUGGGGGAUAUUGCACAAUGGGGGAAACCCUGAUGCAGCGACGCCGCGUGGGUGACGAAGCGCCUCGGCGCGUAAAGCUCUGUCAGCAGGGAAGAAAAUGACGGUACCUGAAGAAGACGCACCGGCUAACUACGUGCCAGCAGCCGCGGUAAUACGUAGGGGGCAAGCGUUAUCCGGAUUUACGGGGUGUAAAGGGGGCGCAGACGGUGAUGCAAGCCAGGAGUGAAGGCCCGGGGCCAAACCCCGGGACUGCCGUUGGAACUGCGUGGCUAGAGUGCAGGAGGGGCAGGUGGAAUACCUGGUGUAGCGGUGAAAUGCGUAGAUAUCAGGAGGAACACCGGUGGCGAAGGCGGCCUGCUGGACUGCAACUGACGUUGAGGCCCGAAAGCGUGGGGAGCAAACAGGAUUAGAUACCCCUGUAGUC